GAUGAACGCUAGCUACAGGCUUAACACAUGCAAGUCGAGGGGCAUCGAGAAGAAAGCUUGCUUUCUUUGUCGGCGACCGGCGCACGGGUGAGUAACGCGUAUCCAACCUUCCCCGCAGUAGGGCAUAGCCCGGCGAAAGUCGGAUUAAUACCCUAUGUUCUCCUUAGCAGGCAUCUAACGAGGAGCAAAGAUUUAUCGCUGUGGGAUGGGGAUGCGUCUGAUUAGCUUGAUGGCGGGGUAACGGCCCACCAUGGCAACGAUCAGUAGGGGUUCUGAGAGGAAGGUCCCCCACACUGGUACUGAGACACGGACCAGACUCC
Molecule: ribosomal RNA, 320 nt
Filed under: uncultured Bacteroidales bacterium
Lineage: Bacteria; Pseudomonadati; Bacteroidota; Bacteroidia; Bacteroidales
Description: bacterial SSU rRNA
Rfam family: Bacterial small subunit ribosomal RNA
Source: RNAcentral